ACACGGAGGGCGCAAGCGUUGCUCGGAAUCACUGGGCGUAAAGCGGGUGUAGGCGGUCUAGCAAGUCAGAUGUGAAAGCCCACGGCUCAACCGUGGAAGUGCAUCUGAAACUGCUAGACUUGAGUGCCGGAGAGGGAAGUGGAAUUCCUGGUGUAGGGGUGAAAUCCGUAGAUAUCAGGAGGAACACCGGUGGCGAAGGCGACUUCCUGGACGGCCCCUGACGCUGAGACCCGAAAGCGUGGGGAGCAAACAGGAUUAGAAACCCUAGUAGUCC
RNAcentral lists this ribosomal RNA (274 nucleotides) under uncultured bacterium. RNAcentral's name for it is "partial 16S ribosomal RNA". It matches the Rfam family "Bacterial small subunit ribosomal RNA", at positions 523 to 796 of the family's 1533-position model. The record is from RNAcentral.